GACGAACGCUGGCGGCGUGCCUAAUACAUGCAAGUGGGACGCAAGGGAACACACUGUGCUUGCACACCGUGUUUUCUUGAGUCGCGAACGGGUGAGUAACGCGUAGGUAACCUGCCUAUUAGCGGGGGAUAACUAUUGGAAACGAUAGCUAAUACCGCAUAAUAUUAAUUAUUGCAUGAUAAUUGAUUGAAAGAUGCAAGCGCAUCACUAGUAGAUGGACCUGCGUUGUAUUAGCUAGUUGGUAAGGUAAGAGCUUACCAAGGCGACGAUACAUAGCCGACCUGAGAGGGUGAUCGGCCACACUGGGACUGAGACACGGCCCAGACUCCUACGGGAGGCAGCAGUAGGGAAUCUUCGGCAAUGGACGAAAGUCUGACCGAGCAACGCCGCGUGAGUGAAGAAGGUUUUCGGAUCGUAAAGCUCUGUUGUAAGUCAAGAACGUGUGUGAGAGUGGAAAGUUCACACAGUGA
This 470-nucleotide ribosomal RNA is filed under the name Streptococcus mutans. Its description in RNAcentral is "bacterial SSU rRNA". It matches the Rfam family "Bacterial small subunit ribosomal RNA", at positions 28 to 472 of the family's 1533-position model. Lineage: Bacteria; Bacillati; Bacillota; Bacilli; Lactobacillales; Streptococcaceae. The record is from RNAcentral.